RNAcentral lists this ribosomal RNA (327 nucleotides) under uncultured Bacteroidota bacterium. RNAcentral's name for it is "bacterial SSU rRNA". It matches the Rfam family "Bacterial small subunit ribosomal RNA", at positions 28 to 351 of the family's 1533-position model. Lineage: Bacteria; Pseudomonadati; Bacteroidota. The record is from RNAcentral.
GAUGAACGCUAGCGGGAGGCUUAACACAUGCAAGUCGUGGGGCAGCAUUUGGUAGCAAUACUGAGAUGGCGACCGGCGCACGGGUGAGUAACGCGUAUGCAACCUACCCUGUACAGGGGGAUAGCCCGGAGAAAUUCGGAUUAAUACCCCAUAAAGAUAUCUGAAGGCAUCUUUUGAUAUUUAAAGUUUCGGCGGUACGGGAUGGGCAUGCGUAACAUUAGCUAGUUGGUAGGUAACGGCCUACCAAGGCGACGAUCCGUAGCUGGUCUGAGAGGAUGAUCAGCCACACUGGAACUGAGACACGGUCCAGACUCCUACGGGAGGCUG